AUGAAACUUUUGAUUCUUUUUACGAUUUUUGGCCACAAGGCACCUACGCGUCGCAGGAUCCGCUGCGGCUCGGUCACCCCUCCCUUCUUCUUCGUCACAGGCCCGUCCCUCGUCCUCCCGGGGUCCGGCGCGACCCCAGCUCCCUGUACCUCCCCGUCAGGCGUCCUCCCGGGGUCAGGCGCGACCCCAGCCCCAUGUACCUCCCCGUCCCGCAUCCUCCCGGGGUCAGGCGCGACCCCAGCCCCAUGUACCUCCCCGUCCCGCAUCCUCCCGGGGUCAGGCGCGACCCCAGCUCCCUGUACCUCCCCGUCAGGCGUUCUCCCGGGGUCAGGCGCGACCCCAGCCCCAUGUACCUCCCCGUCCCGCAUCCUCCCGGGGUCAGGCGCGACCCCAGCUCCCUGUACCUCCCCGUCAGGCGUCCUCCCGGGGUCAGGCGCGACCCCAGCCCCAUGUACCUCCCCGUCCCGCAUCCUCCCGGGGUCAGGCGCGACCCCAGCCCCCUGUACCUCCCCGUCAGGCGUUCUCCCGGGGUCAGGCGCGACCCCAGCCCCAUGUACCUCCUCGUCCCGAAUCCUCCCGGGGUCAGGCGCGACCCCAGCUCCCUGUACCUCCCCGUCAGGCGUUCUCCCGGGGUCAGGCGCGACCCCAGCCCCAUGUACCUCCCCGUCCCGCAUCCUCCCGGGGUCAGGCGCGACCCCAGCUCCCUGUACCUCCCCGUCAGGCGUCCUCCCGGGGUCAGGCGCGACCCCAGCCCCAUGUACCUCCCCGUCCCGCAUCCUCCCGGGGUCAGGCGCGACCCCAGCUCCCUGUACCUCCCCGUCAGGCGUUCUCCCGGGGUCAGGCGCGACCCCAGCCCCAUGUACCUCCCCGUCCCGCAUCCUCCCGGGGUCAGGCGCGACCCCAGCUCCCUGUACCUCCCCGUCAGGCGUCCUGCCGGGGUCCGGCGCGACCCCAGCCCCAUGUACCUCCCCGUCCCGCGUCCUCCCGGGGUCAGGCGCGACCCCGGCCCCCUGUACCUCCCCGUCCCGCGUCCUCCCGGGGUCAGGCGCGACCCCGGCCCCCUGUACCUCCCGGUUCUCAGAGUAA
Molecule: long non-coding RNA, 1086 nt
Filed under: Betta splendens (Siamese fighting fish)
Lineage: Eukaryota; Metazoa; Chordata; Actinopteri; Anabantiformes; Osphronemidae
Description: lncRNA (ENSBSLG00000026438.1)
Source: RNAcentral